UAGCUCAGUCGGUAAAGAAUCUGCCUGCAAUGCAGGAGACCUGGGUUCAAUUCCCGG
This 57-nucleotide transfer RNA is filed under the name Bos taurus (domestic cattle). It matches the Rfam family "tRNA", at positions 8 to 63 of the family's 71-position model. Rfam says of the family: Transfer RNA (tRNA) molecules are approximately 80 nucleotides in length. Their secondary structure includes four short double-helical elements and three loops (D, anti-codon, and T loops). The record is from Rfam by way of RNAcentral. Lineage: Eukaryota; Metazoa; Chordata; Mammalia; Artiodactyla; Bovidae. RNAcentral also lists the same sequence under 1 other name.